This is a long non-coding RNA of Astatotilapia calliptera (eastern happy), 1106 nucleotides long. NCBI's taxonomy places the organism in Eukaryota, Metazoa, Chordata, Actinopteri, Cichliformes, Cichlidae. The record is from Ensembl.
CUGAGAAUUAGGUAGACUAGACAUUGCUGUCGCUCACGGUGAAAGAAUUUUGUCAAUACGACUUUUACUUUUCAUUUGGGAACGAUUUGUUUGGGCCUGACUUUUCUGUUCAUUUUAAGCAGCAAAAGUGAGGUGCAUGUCUGUGUACGUGUGUAUGGAGCCCUUGGGUGCAGUCACUAUAGCAACCAGGCUCACACCUGCCUGCUUAACGAGCUCUGCCUGCCACUGUACCAAGAUUCAUCUUAAACACUUCUCUUUCAACUGCUGCUGUGUCCACAGUGUUACAGCCAUCAUUUUACCCUCAAAUUGUCGCCAUUAUUGUUCUCUUUCCAACACCGUAUCUUUCAAAGCUCAGGCAUUUAAACUUUUUAAACUGUGUGGAUCAAAGUGGAGGGAUCACAUUUGAGUCAUUCAGUGAUUCAAAGAAUAUGACCUUUUAAUAUUCUUUCAGAUGUUUUCUGACUCUAAAUGUUCUUUUCUCAUUUCUUAGGGUUUUCUAAUUUACAUUUAAAACAUUUUCAGUUUUUUUCCAACUCCUUCUUCUGUGUAACCUUCAGCUUUUAGCAGUUCAGCACCUUUUUUUUCAGGUUAAAUUCGUUUUUUUUUGUUUUUUUUUAAUCUCAUUCAAGAUUUUUAACUCAAAAUUCAGCAAUUAAUUCAUUUCAGUGCAUACAUUCAGAUUCAAGCAUUCACACUGCAGUUUCUUCAGAAAAUGCACUUUCUAGUUAGAAAUGCUGUUUGUGUAGAAUGAUGGCCUUUCUUUACUGAUUACUGUCACAGUCCUGGGUCAUUUUGACCCAGCAUUUUCAGUUCUUACAUUCCUUUAUAUUAUGGUUUGGUAUUCUGAUCCUUUUGUUAUGCUUUGUUUAUUAGUAUUAUUCUAUGUUCUUUGUGAGGGGUUAGUUCUUGGGUUGUGUCCCGUGUUUAGUAUAAGUUCAGUUCAGUGUCAAGUCUGUGUCUGUUUCUUGUUUCCCGUUUUAUUGUGAAAGGUUGUGCCUCAUGUCAGUGUGUCUAGCUUUGCUUCCCGUGUCUCGUUAGCCCAAACCCUCUCAGCUGUGUCUCCCUCCUGUUUCUCAUUCCUUGAUGACUCCCUCAGUGUAUUUAAG